Long non-coding RNA from Pseudopipra pipra, 4134 nucleotides. RefSeq lists it as uncharacterized. The record is from RefSeq and is a predicted model, not a curated record. The transcript has 2 exons. NCBI's taxonomy places the organism in Eukaryota, Metazoa, Chordata, Aves, Passeriformes, Pipridae.
AGGGAACUGCUUGAGCAGCUCCGUCUUCUGCCGCUUGUAGUCGUCGGUAGCCGAGCGCCAGUGGGGCUCCUCCAGCACCUCGAAGAUCGCGGCCCCGAUGGACAGGUAGAAGAUGAUGGCCGAGGUUCAGCGUAAUUUCUCGUUUUCGACGCCGGCAGGCUGUGAAACGAGGGCUGUGGCUUUCCCGGAUGCGUGGAAGCGUGGGGGAAAGGUGAGAAGGAGAUCAGAAAAUAAGAAGUCUGUCGGCAGGUUUCACCCCUCCCCUGAGAUGUCGUCCAGACGUGUGCAUUACAGAUUCUUCAGAGCAGACACUGCAUCUCCCUUCUUCGUGCAUUUUGUACCUUUAAUAAAUGUUCCUGUGCAUGCUCUCUGUGUGUUUGGGAGUGAGGGAGAGGUAGCGGGUAGUAAUUUUCCAUGAGAUGGUCAAAACCCCUUCCAGGCUGAAGCUCUCCCUGUUUGUGAAGCAGCCCACGCUACUCCGUGUUCACACUUCCAGGCAGGAGGAAGGCAACCCGACUGCUUUAAAUGAAUAGGGCUGGAAAUGGGGUUAAAUGGGACAGGGAGAGGAUACAGCAAUGUGUCAUGCACCCUGGCAAAGUGCUUCUGGUGCGGACACAGUUCAUCUUACAUGGAUCAUCUUACAAACACUGUUUUUGUGCAAGUAACUUGUUUUAUUACUUUUCUAGCCCCCCCCAACAGGAAGUAAACAGUCAAGAAAUAGAGUCGUUCAUAUCAGUUGCAUCAACACUAAGGAUUUUGGGUUGUAUAGGUACAUCAGUUGCAGUACACAAUCCAAAAGGCCAGCUGAAAUUUCUCCUGCAGAUGUAGUUGAAAUGGAAGGAGGGGGAAUGGAGGAGAAUGGGAAAGGGAAAGGAAACAAGUAGAAAAUAGUGUCGUAAGGAAACUACACUAACCUUUUUUUAUUAAGGCAAAAAUGGGGGAUGCUUCAUGAAGUUGUAAGGCAGAACUUUGAAUUCAAAGGAAAAGAAGAACCUCAUGAUGCACAAUUAGCCCAUGAAAAUUAUUCCCAGAUGUUAUCACUUGGCCCAAGACCUUUGCAAAAUUUGAAAAGCCAUUGGCCACAUAAUAAUGUGAGCAUCCAUCAUUGCUUCACUCACUAAUUUAAAAGUAAAGUUCAAAAUCCUAAGGUAUAUAAAUACUUACGGCAAGUGACUGAAAGUGUUGAAGAACUCUUUCAGUAGGCAAACUAUGAUACAAUUUUCCUUUUCGUGCUCUUGCACCUUCUUCUGAGUCACCUGCAAAUGAUUAGGUUAGUCCAACAGCAGCAUCGGUAGCCUGACACGAUACAGCAAUACUACACUUGUGUGUUCCUGACCCUGAACAUCUGUGCUUCGUAAUGGGAAGGUAUUUGAUUAUAUUUUGAAACUGUACUCUUCUCCAUCUGUCUUUAGGUCUCUAAAGGCACAUUUAUACAUUGAAACAGUAUCUUAAAGUCACAAGGAAUAACACGAAUGACCCUGAACCCACUGCAGUUAUAGAGCACAGACAAGCAAAAACACUUUCAGGCAUUUUAUAGAGAGUUUGUUUGCAAUUUUGAUUCAACGUUUCUACUUUCCACUCUAACCUCCCAAUCACUGAUUGCAUAAUUAGUGCUCUCAGUUAGCUGAGUCAGUGUUUAAAAACAAACAGACCUGUAAAUCACAUAUCAUUUUUCCCUGUGUUGAAAUGCUAUUGCACUUGUUAGACUCUCUCCUUGUGUUUCCCUGAGUUUCAAAGAGAUGAGCCUGGUAAGGAACAAUAUCUAGAAAAAUAGUUUAUUCCCCAAGGAACCAUAAUCAACUAGUCCUACAAGUAGGGUUGAUCCACUGAGUAUCAGUAAACUUCUUGCAUUUAGAUAUUUCACUUUGAUUCCGUUGUCUUUUGCAGAACAAAUUACAAGGUAUAAUUUCAUGCUGCUGGCCAAAGGACUGUGGCAAGAAGGAAUGUUUUCUGUAGCUGGCCUGUCUUUGCACCUCCUGAUCCAAAAUGCUUCUCCUGACCUCAUAAAAGAUCCCAUAUCCUCUUAUUCAUGGCCCUUUUCUCCUCUUUAUUUCCCUUGGAUUAAACAGUACUCUAUUGUUAACCCACAGCACCUGCCACAUAGGCCCCACAGCUUUUCAUGCUAGGCUAAGUUAAUGAAUAGGCUGGGGUUAUUCACUCACAGGCUUUUAAAUCUCAUUAAAAAUCAAGAGAGAACCAGCAGAUAGCACUGUGGUGAGCAAUACCACAAGUAUCAAUCAUUUAUACUAUUUGCAUAGGUCGUUAUUUCAGGCUGUCCAGUCCAAAAGGAAAUCUCUAUCAUCCAAGAUGUAUGUCUAAGACACAUUUGCUGUACAGAUGUUUCCUAGAACAGCCUGAAAUGAAUUAAUAAAUGUCAGAAUAUGUUUUAGAUGGAGCAACUAAAAGACAUUAUUUGGGCAAAGCAAACCUGUCAUGUAGUGGCAGAGACUGCAGGUUGUACUGAGUAUGAAAUAUGAGCCUCUCUUCAAGCCUCUACCAUUUUUCACUUAGGAGUCUGGUUUUGCCUGGUUGAUGACUGUUUUCAGUGCCUGUCAACUCUGCAUCUUUUCUUUAUCUGUUGAAAUUUGGACACCUCAACAUUGCCUUCAAGUGUUAUACAUCUAGCCAUGGAAGGUUGAACUAAGUUCAGAAGUGUACUAUCGUGACUACCUUAAGCCAUUUGGCUUCUUUGGUGCAGUCCAGUGUGCACAGAUAGGGUAAGGCUGGUCUGCAGAUGAUGCAGAAUUUUAUAUGAGACAUUUGUAGAAAGUUAAAAAAUUCUCCAUGGGAUUGUUCAUACCUUUUGGCUUAAGUAUUUACGCAAAGCAAUUUUAUGCCCCGAAUGUAGAGUAACACAUAGUAAAUCAUAUUAAAAAAUAAUAAAAACCUUUACCAAAACAAUCUGCAUACCACUGCAACAGACUUCUUCACUCAUAGGCAGAUAAUGAGUGAACAAACACCACAUGACAGAUGUUAGUCAUGUUGCUUAAUGAAUAACUGGUGAUGAGUACAAUACCUGUGUGGAAUGGCUGUAAUAAGUUCAGCGAGAAAUAUGCAUUUGGAUCAUCAGUUUUGCACUGAGAUACCUGCAGUGCUCAAGAGAAAUGUCUUCAUCAGGAAGAAGCCUAUGCAUUUCAACAUUUUUUCUGCAUGUAUUUCCUUGACUGCCUUGUUCCUCAGCCAUCCAUAGAAGUCACUGGAUGAUGAAACAUGCUUUCCUUCAAAAUACUUUAAAAAGAAAUACUUUGGCCUUCUCUUUCUGCUCCACCAUGGCCUCAGUGGUCGUGCCAAACGUUUUAUGACAGUCCUUCACACUGACAUUCAUGUCAGUGAUCUAAGCAGUUCAGGAUACAACUCUUCAAAAAACCCCAACUUGUACGAUGUCAGUCCUGGACUGGGUUUUACCAUCAUGAUACCCAGAGCACAUUCCUGCUCUAGACAGUAUGCUCAAGGAUAGCUGAGCACCAUGGUAACAGUCAGUGAAUAUGCAACAAUCUGUUAUUUUGUUAUGUAAAACAUCACUGUCAAGUCUUAUUUUUGUGUCAUUAAGAAGGAGUUAAAUUUUAUUUGUAUAUAGUAAUAUGAAUGAAUGCCUGUACAUUGCUCUGAGAUUUGUUUAAAUUAACUUUUAUCAAUCUGGUGUCAUGCAGUGCCCGCAGUGCAUACCUUCUCCAGUGUUACUGCUUGAAUGUGAUAGGGGUAGAUUACAGGGGAGAAUUCAAGGAGCUGUUAGUCUCCCCCGUCUCCUAGCUAGGUUACACAGCUCCAUAUCUGUGUGCCAGAUUGAGCAAUGAAGGACCUUGUGUGUGGCUGGGCAGCUCCCAAAUCCACAUCAGGCUCCCUUCCAUGCACGGUGUGUAGCACUCACAUUUUGUUAGUCAACAUGCCUGAAGAGCUGGUCCCACCUACUUCUCUUCCCUUUAUAGAAACAAAGUCAGCACAUUAAUUUUGGCAGAGGAGAAGCAGAGGGGAGGUUGAUGGCUUUUUUUUUUCCUCCUGGGUGAAUAGAGCCUUGUGGAUAACAAAUGAAGACAGCUAUACACCCAAAAAACAUUGAAAAGGAUCAUAUUCUUAUCAUCUGUUCUCCUGUUCCAAACCCUGCAGCAACAGCUUGUGAGGUGAGAUUGGGUCUUA